RNAcentral lists this non-coding RNA (83 nucleotides) under Pleurocapsa sp. PCC 7327. RNAcentral's name for it is "Nitrogen stress-induced RNA 4". It matches the Rfam family "Nitrogen stress-induced RNA 4". From Rfam's summary of the family: Former name SyR12, is a cyanobacterial non-coding RNA which plays role in the regulation of Glutamine synthetase (GS), a key enzyme in biological nitrogen assimilation. NsiR4 interacts with the 5'UTR of the mRNA of the GS inactivating factor IF7 (gifA mRNA) and reduces its expression. Lineage: Bacteria; Bacillati; Cyanobacteriota; Cyanophyceae; Pleurocapsales; Pleurocapsaceae. The record is from Rfam by way of RNAcentral.
AAGAUAUAGAGUCAAUAUCACCCUCCGAUUGCUGGAAAUUGACCUCCUUAAUCUGUCGCAAUGUAAAGAUUAGAGGUCAAUUU